This is a long non-coding RNA of Sycon ciliatum, 2808 nucleotides long. RefSeq lists it as uncharacterized. The record is from RefSeq and is a predicted model, not a curated record. Lineage: Eukaryota; Metazoa; Porifera; Calcarea; Leucosolenida; Sycettidae. The transcript is spliced from 2 exons.
AAUCAAUGCCCAGGCAGCUGACUUUAUUUUCGGAGAAACACUACUCCUUGUAGUAAAAAGUAACAAUGAAUAGCGAUAUCAUCUAGGAAGGAUCGCUACCCUAACGCGAAGGAAAGGCCUUGCGCGGCUGCUCUACGAAGUGUUGAAGAAAGACUCAUCAAAUUUAGUUGGUGGACGAACAACUCGCUGGCGCCGGAAAACUUGGCCCCCAACGAUGGUGUUUGGUGAAUCAUCAAGCAUAAUGUCUUGUAGCAGUGUUCACCGAGGAAGGAGAACGCUCUAGACUAGUCGCUGCUGUUGUCCGUUUCAUCCACGUUGGGCGUUAGCUGCACCGCGCCUAUUGUGUUUUAGUAUUCCAUGGACACACAUUAGCAUUCAGAGCGAUUGUGGAGCCACACUUUACUUCACACAGCGUUGUAUUGUCCACGAGCGCAAACUUAAUUAUCAGCAGUAACUGUUACUCUUCAUCCUACAUGUAGACUUGGAGUAUACACGGCCUUGUCACGACAGCGACAGCUCUACAGAUCAUGCAGAGUGUUCAAGUGAGAAACAUUAAUUUCUAUUGUUGGUGGACGAAUAAAUGGCUGGUUCCGAAAAAACGCGGCCUGCACCGAUGGUGUUUGGUGGAUCAUCAAACAGGGUGACCAGCAGUGUUCACCGAGGAAGGAGAAUGCACUCGCCACCACUCCGAUUCAUCCAAGUGGGCGUUAGCUGCGCCGCGCCUAUUGUGUUUUAGUAUUCCAUGGACGCACACUAGCGUUCUCAGCGAUUGUGGAGCCACAACAUAUCUUCAUGCGGCGUUGCACUGUCCAAGAGCAGAAACGUCAGCAGUGACCCAUCAUCAUACAUGUAGAUUUGGAGUAUACACACCAUGCGCCAAUGGGCCUCGGCACAACAGCGGCAGCUCUACGGAGUGUUCAAGUGAGAAACAUUUGUUUCGACUUUUGGUGGACGAACAAAUCGUCGGUGCCGAAAAACGUGGCCUGCGCCGAUGGUGCUUGAAACAUCAAGCAUGGUAUGUGGUGACUGUCAGUGUUGAUCGAGGAAGGAGAACACUCAGGCCGUCGACCGUUCAUCCAUUUCGUUAGCUGCACCAAGCCUAUUGUGUCCUUGUAUUCCAUGGGCACACAAUCAUGAAGCAUGGCGUCUGAGCUGUGUUCACAGAGCGGGGAGAUGCUCUUGCUGCUAUCUUAUCUGUCCUGUGUAUUCCCAAGUGCCGAAGGCUCACAACGAUGGUGUUGGACAAGUCAGAUAAAAUAGAGUCAACAUCGUCACACGGUGCUGUGACCAAGAUACGGAUCAUGCCGAACGCUGAUUCAACUGGACGAAUCGCGAGGCUUUUCAGAUGCAGGGACACAAUGGAAACUGAAUGACUUCAGAACAGCACUGCUUGGCGCGUCUAUACAGCAUCAUUUGGCACAGCAAGAUGACAAAACAGCUAGCAGUGGCUAUUGGUGAGAAAAUGUUCUGCUGUGCCAUUGGAGUGUGCACGAUACACGGAACCCUGCUCUUUUGUUGGCACCGCCUAUGUAACUUACUGCAUAGGGUGCAAGGUGACCGUUGUCGGUUUACAUGUACUCCAGUUAUUACACCGUGCAUGCACUGAGUCUGUGCUGCACUGUGCAUCCAUAGGUGUUCGUUUGCGGUAGCGCAAGGUGACACGCAAGGUUGAUGGAUUGUUUUGUCCGCUGCUAUUCGAAGCUCUCGGAGUCGGAAGCGUUACCUCUGUUUCCCCUGUUCCUCCCUGCGCGGAGUCUGUAGUUCUGGCUUGCAGUUGCUGUUACAUGCAUGUUGGCAGUUGCAUGUGUUUUGGUUUUCAGUUGUCUUUAUCAAGUUGUUUUGUGUGGACGACAGUUCAAUAUUCUAGCAGUUGUUGCACUUCCUACUUCUGAAGUACAUUCCGUAGUUAUCUGCGGUUGGUGUUCGAGAAAGCAAACUGUGUUCUUCUCCAGAGUGGAGUAAACCAUUCGCUUGUGUCUGAGGAAAACCCUGUGUGUUGACGAAGAGGUUGACUUGGCUGUAGAGUGAAAGUACCACAUGGUCACAUGGUCCACAAAAUCUUAGAACUAACUUAGGGUCUUCUGGCGUAUGGUAUAGUUAUAUGAGCAGCAUGAGAGUGAAGUAAAAGACUAUUAGCUCAAACAUUCAGGCUUUCAAGAGUAGGUGUUUCAUCACGGAAUAGGUUCUGCAGUUCACUUACACACUGCAACAAUGGACCAGCAGUGUCCAGCAUACAAUAGAGUCAUGUGAAUAUGUACCGUAUGCAUACUCACAGCUGCAAGGCCAGCGCCCCGUGGCUGCUUGACUUCUCAAUCGAUAUAAAUAUUCACAACAGUAAGACUCUGUGAUCAAUCAGAGCUGUGCUUCGAAGUAGUCACAAAUGCCCCAUGUUCAGUCACAAAACAAAACUUGGCAACCAGUCACAGCUUCCACGGUGCCCCAAGACCAGUCACCAGAAAUGAUCGUAGUAAAUCUGCAGGGAGUUUCAUAAUCUGUUCAUUGCAGAGUCCACUAUGCUAUGAUUCAAGAGGGGGGUAGCGUUCCUGCGGAUGCGGAAAACUUGGCUGGAACCCGAGUGUCACGUGAACCCUGAUUUUUAAGACUUAUUAUUUGUUUUACGAUGAGCCUAUUAUACGCGAUACAGGCUCAGAACACACUUUUCGUCUAGUUGGAAUAUCAGGGAUAUAGGGCGGAGCAGCCCAUAUCCCCAAUUAUGACACGCGAGUAAUAGUGAAAUACGAUUGGCGUAUUGUGCUGGACUGACUGCGGUAAUGUAAAGCUAAAAUAAAGCAGUCAGUUUGCCCUUAG